AUAUUUAGGGUUUAUGUUAGAGUUUUUAGGGUUCUGUAAUCUGUAUUAGGGUUUUUUUUUUUUUGGUACAUAUUGUUUCUCUUAAUUAUGGACAGAGAGCUAGUGUGAGCUCCUGCUGCUGCUUUUGUGCCAAAGCUUAAAUUCACGUAUAAAUCAAAAUCACAAUUGAAGCAUAAUUUGAAAUUGAAAGAAUCUGUUUUUGUUUUGAUUUGAAGCUGCUGGUGUUUUAUUUAUUUAUUUGUGUUUAUGUUUUU
This 254-nucleotide long non-coding RNA is filed under the name Prunus persica (peach). RNAcentral describes it as "long non-coding RNA (PPER_LNC003578)". Lineage: Eukaryota; Viridiplantae; Streptophyta; Magnoliopsida; Rosales; Rosaceae. The record is from RNAcentral.